GAUGAAGAACGUAGCGAAAUGCGAUACGUAAUGUGAAUUGCAGAAUUCAGUGAAUCAUCGAGUCUUUGAACGCACAUUGCGCCCCCUGGUAUUCCGGGGGGCAUGCCUGUCCGAGCGUCAUUGCUGCCCUCAAGCACGGCUUGUGUGUUGGGCCUCCGUCCUCCUCCCGGGGGACGGGCCCGAAAGGCAGCGGCGGCACCGCGUCCGGUCCUCGAGCGUAUGGGGCUUCGUCACCCGCUCUUGUAGGCCCGGCCGGAGCUUGCCGACACAUCAAUCUUUUUUCCAGGUUGACCUCGGAUCAGGUAGGGAUACCCGCUGAACUUCAGCAUAUCAAUAAGCGGAGGA
This 345-nucleotide unclassified non-coding RNA is filed under the name soil metagenome. RNAcentral's name for it is "partial contains 5.8S ribosomal RNA, internal transcribed spacer 2, and large subunit ribosomal RNA". The stretch from base 1 to 120 matches the Rfam family "5.8S ribosomal RNA", at positions 35 to 154 of the family's 154-position model. The record is from RNAcentral.